UAGGGAAUCUUCGGCAAUGGACGAAAGUCUGACCGAGCAACGCCGCGUGAGUGAAGAAGGUUUUCGGAUCGUAAAACUCUGUUGUUAGAGAAGAACAAGGACGUUAGUAACUGAACGUCCCCUGACGGUAUCUAACCAGAAAGCCACGGCUAACUACGUGCCAGCAGCCGCGGUAAUACGUAGGUGGCAAGCGUUGUCCGGAGUUAUUGGGCGUAAAGCGAGCGCAGGCGGUUUCUUAAGUCUGAUGUGAAAGCCCCCGGCUCAACCGGGGAGGGUCAUUGGAAACUGGGGGACUUGAGUGCAGAAGAGGAGAGUGGAAUUCCAUGUGUAGCGGUGAAAUGCGUAGAUAUAUGGAGGAACACCAGUGGCGAAGGCGGCUCUCUGGUCUGUAACUGACGCUGAGGCUCGAAAGCGUGGGGAGCAAACAGG
Molecule: ribosomal RNA, 429 nt
Filed under: Gemmatimonadota bacterium
Lineage: Bacteria; Pseudomonadati; Gemmatimonadota
Description: Gemmatimonadetes bacterium partial 16S ribosomal RNA
Rfam family: Bacterial small subunit ribosomal RNA
Source: RNAcentral